RNAcentral lists this ribosomal RNA (368 nucleotides) under uncultured organism. RNAcentral's name for it is "bacterial LSU rRNA". It matches the Rfam family "Bacterial large subunit ribosomal RNA", at positions 2099 to 2465 of the family's 2925-position model. The record is from RNAcentral.
CUUUACUGUAGCUUUGCAUUGGACUUUGAUGAGACUUGUGUAGGAUAGGUGGGAGGCACUGAUGCGCGGAUGCUAGUUCGCGCGGAGCCAACCUUGAAAUACCACCCUGGUGUCAUUGAGGUUCUAACCUAGGCCCGUGAAUCCGGGUCGGGGACCGUGCAUGGUAGGCAGUUUGACUGGGGCGGUCUCCUCCCAAAGCGUAACGGAGGAGUACGAAGGUACGCUAGGUACGGUCGGACAUCGUGCUAAUAGUGCAAUGGCAUAAGCGUGCUUGACUGCGAGACUGACACGUCGAGCAGGUGCGAAAGCAGGUCAUAGUGAUCCGGUGGUUCUGUAUGGAAGGGCCAUCGCUCAACGGAUAAAAGGUA